AAUUUAUAUGAAUAUUAAAAUAGAGUGUCCUAUUUUUUAGAGUACUGUAUAUUGUGAUUUGACUGCAGGGUGGGAGCAGUUGAGUUUAUAUUCCUGGUGUUAGAUGAUGAUCCUCCUUGCGUCAGCCAUUCUCGUAAACAUAAAGAAUUCAAAAUCUGAAGUGGAUUCUUGAAAUUUUUUCCUUUCAGAAUUCAUAAAUGACUGCUAUCCUCAGAAAAAGGUAGAAAUUUUAUUGCCAAAAUCUGAUAAGGAAAUGACUCAGUAAAAACUUAUCCCCUUUCAACUAAUAAAAACAAAACCUGUGUUCUUUGGCCGGCAUGGAAAUGCCAGUGAAGAGACCGAGGUUCCAUUUGGCAGUUUUCACCACUUACCCCACACCAAUAUUUUAACGCCCACUUGCCUUUUAUAAAUUGGGAAAUCAUGAAGAGGAAAAAACUUGACUUUCCUUUGAUGCUCAGAACUUGCUGGGUACUGAAAUGGGCAAGUUUGAGAGUGUUUUAACAUGGGUUUUUAUUACUUCCUUUGUUGCUGGGUUUGGUUUGUGUGGGACAGUCAAUGGCGGUUAUGUGAAAUACAACACUGGAGGUGGAGUUGUGCAAGGAAAACUCAAUGUUCAUUUGGUAGCACAUACACAUGAUGAUGUUGGUUGGUUAAAGACUAUUGAUCAGUACUAUGUUGGAUCAAACAACAGUAUUCAGGGUGCUUGUGUUGAAAAUGUGCUGGACUCAGUUGUGGAAUCCCUGCUUCGAGAUCCAAACAGGAAGUUUGUUUUUGUUGAAAUGGUGAUGAAAUGAAAGAUUUGUUGAUUGUUUGGUUUCCAGUGUUUAAUCUUAUUGGAAGUUCUGAGUACCGUUUUAAGGCGUUUAUAUUAAAUUUCAAGGUUGAUGUGUACGAGUUCAACCUGUAAUCAAUACACUUUAUUUAAUAAUCAUGAGUUUCAUGCACUUAAAUAUUCUACGUGCAGUUUCAUCAUACCAGAUAUUCAUGGUGUGUGUGGCUAGGACUUUCUGGUAACUCAUACAGUCAUACUGAUAAGCAAUUUGAUCAUAAUCCCGUAUGAAAUUCAUUAUUUUUAUACUUCAGAACUUUGUUAUAUGAUAUGGUUUUG
This 1108-nucleotide unclassified non-coding RNA is filed under the name Hevea brasiliensis (rubber tree). The record is from RNAcentral. Lineage: Eukaryota; Viridiplantae; Streptophyta; Magnoliopsida; Malpighiales; Euphorbiaceae.